CGCAUUCAGUUGCCAUCGGGUAAUGCCGGGCGACUCUGGAAGGACUGCCAUCGACAAGAUGGAGGAAGGUGGGGAUGACGUCAAGUCAUCAUGGCCCUUAUGUCCAGGGCGACACACGUGCUACAAUGGCCGGCACAACGGGAAGCGAGUUCGCGAGGACGAGCGGAUCCCUUAAAGCCGGUCGCAGUUCGGAUUGAAGUCUGCAACUCGACUUCAUGAAGCUGGAAUCGCUAGUAAUCGUGGAUCAGCCAAGCCGCGGUGAAUACGUUCCCGGGCCUU
RNAcentral lists this ribosomal RNA (279 nucleotides) under uncultured Synergistaceae bacterium. RNAcentral's name for it is "partial 16S ribosomal RNA". It matches the Rfam family "Bacterial small subunit ribosomal RNA", at positions 1106 to 1382 of the family's 1533-position model. Lineage: Bacteria; Thermotogati; Synergistota; Synergistia; Synergistales; Synergistaceae. The record is from RNAcentral.